GUGCUCACUUCAGCAGCAUGUAUACUAAAAUCGGAAGGAUACAGAGUAUAUUAACAUGGCCCAUGGUCAAGGAUGACAUGCAAAUUCGUGAAAUAUCUAUAUCCUUU
This is a small nuclear RNA of Mustela putorius furo (domestic ferret), 107 nucleotides long. The record is from Ensembl. NCBI's taxonomy places the organism in Eukaryota, Metazoa, Chordata, Mammalia, Carnivora, Mustelidae.